CGCCUUACGGCGAAGAUGAGAGCACGAUGCCCGUGGGCUCUUACAGAGUAUACCAUAUGAGAAGCGAAUCGGAUGUCGGCAGAGUUUCGCGCAGGAAGCCAAAGUCUCGAAGUACCGAUUGAUAUCUGGGACCCGUGCCAAGAGGGCGAACCACACUGUCUAAUUAACUCCGUGACUGGAUGACCUCACAAAGAACCCUCUUCGCCCUUCGUUCUCUCCGUACGGCAUCACCCCGGCGCUGCCGUUGCCGCAACGUUCUUCGUUCGUCUCAUGUCCUCUUCUCGCGUUCCUAUACACCCUGUGCAGAGAUUUCGCAGCGACCCACGUCGUUCCGCGGCGUGGCCACGUUCGGCUUGUAUCGAAUAUGAGCGGGUACGUCGUAGAGAUAAAUGUGAACGUAGGUCGUACGUACGUACGUACGUGCAGUGUACGGUAGAGCGGUGCGAUACUCGGACAAAUGGACAAGCAGACGUUUCCGCAUCGUCGCAUUAAUCAG
Molecule: unclassified non-coding RNA, 496 nt
Filed under: Athalia rosae (coleseed sawfly)
Lineage: Eukaryota; Metazoa; Arthropoda; Insecta; Hymenoptera; Athaliidae
Description: misc RNA ENSAEAG00005001242.1
Source: RNAcentral